AGAACUAACGAGGAUUCCCUUAGUAGCUGCGAGCGAACAGGGAGAAGCCCAGCACUGAAUCCCGGAGACUCAGUCUUCAGGGAAAUGUAGUGUUUGGGAGGGUUCAUACACCUGGUACCGUUGCACUGCGCUCAAGUCCAUCUUGAAAGAGGCCACGGUCCCGAGAGGGUGCUAGGCCCGUGGUAGGCCAGUGCUGGUGUUAGGUGAACCUCUCCUCAGAGUCAGGUUGCUUGAGAGUGCAGCCCUAAGUGGGUGGUAAACUCCAUCUAAGGCUAAAUACAACCACGAGACCGAUAGCGAACAAGUACCGUGAGGGAAAGUUGAAAAGAACUUUGAAGAGAGAGUUCAAGAGUACGUGAAACCGCUCAGGGGUAAACGGAAAAGACCCGAAAUUUUCGAAGCGGGAGAUUCACGUCUUUUCGCGGGUUCGACGCUCUUCUCAUCGUCGACAGCUUUGCUCCUGCUUAGACUCGUCUAACGCCAGGUUGUCAAGUUGCAGAGGGUUGAGCGAAGGCCCGCGACGGACCGCACUUCUCCCUCAGUAGAACGUCGUGACCCGUCCGGUGAAGGUCUUGCGGAUGUGGGGUGGAGCCUGUUCGUUCGUGCUUGCACGUUUCACGGAUAGACCCCCGCACCCUGGCUUUGAAAAUCCGGGCGGUAUCAAAGACGGUGUACGGCCGCUCUCCCAAGGAGGAAACUCUUUGAAGAGAGCGCGUUUUUGGCUCUUGACAAGAUGCUGAACAGUUCAAGUCAAGACGGGCUUUCGUCCGUCUGGCUACUCUCGGCUCUGUUAGUCUUGACGCUCUGACGCUGGCCUGAAUAUUUUUUCUACACACCCGUCGACGGCGAAUCAGUUUUGGGCUCUUGUCCGACCCGUCUUGAAACACGGACCAAGGAGUUUAGCGUGUGCGCAAGUCAUUGAGUGGCAAAACUCAAAGGCGAAAUGAAAGUGAAGGAAACUUCACGUUUCUUAGGGAAGAUGAGUCGAUUACCUGCAAAGGGUCACUCCGCACUCCCGGGGCGUCUCUAUCUCAUUGCGAGAGGAGGCGCACCUAGAGCGUACACGCUGAUACCCGAAAGAUGGUGAACUAUGCCUGGCCAGGACGAAGUCAGGGGAAACCCUGAUGGAGGUCCGCAGCGAUUCUGACGUGCAAAUCGAUCGUCGGAGCUGGGUUUAGGGGCGAAAGACCAAUCGAACCAUCUAGUAGCUGGUUCCCUCCGAAGUUUCCCUCAGGAUAGCUUGCGCUCGAGAUGAACGAGUCUCAUCCGGUAGAGCGAAUGAUUAGAGGCCUUGGGGUCGAAACGACCUCAACCUAUUCUCAAACUCCAAAUAGAUGAGAACCCCGGCUUUCUUGAACUUUUGUUUGAAGCCGUGGGAUUCGGAUCAGAGUGCCAAGUGGGCCAAUUUUGGUAAGCAGAACUGGCGCUGUGGGAUGAACCAAACGUCGAGUUAAGGCGCCUCAAUCGACGCUCAUGUGAAACCAUGAAAGGCGUUGGUUGCUUAAGACAGCAGGACGGUGGCCAUGGAAGUCGGAAUCCGCUAAGGAGUGUGUAACAACUCACCUGCCGAAGCAACUAGCCCUGAAAAUGGAUGGCGCUGUAGCGUCGUGCCUAUACUCGACCGUCAAUGGCAAAGCAAAUUCUUCGCCUUCGGGUGUAGAAUGUUAAGCCUUGACGAGUAGGAGGGCCGCGGCGACGUGCGUAGAAGGGUCUGGGCGUGAGCCUGCCUGGAGCCGUCGUCGGUGCAGAUCUUGGUGGUAGUAGCAAAUACUCCAGCGAGGCCCUGGAGGACUGAUGUGGAGAAGGGUUUCUUGUGAACAGCUGUUGCACAAGAGUCAGUCGAUCCUAAGCCCUAGGAGAAAUCCGAAGCGAUGGGUUGCCGUUAACUACUACCUAUAUUGUGGUGGCACCCGUUUGGGCGAAAGGGAAUCCGGUUCCUAUUCCGGAACCUGGCAGUGGAACCGUUUCAAAUCGGGCCCUCUGAGGACUCGUCAGGGCAACCUGAGUAGACCCGGAGACGCCGUCAGGAGGUUGGGGGAGAGUUGUCUCUUCUCUAUAAGCGAUCGAGUUCCCUGGAAACUUCUAGCAAGGAGAUAGGGUUUGGAUCGCGAAGAGCACUGCAGUUACGGCAGUGUCCCAAUCUUCCUCUCGGACCUUGAAAAUCCGGGUGAGGGCCACGAGGAACCCCACGCUAGAUCGUACCCAUAUCCGCAGCAGGUCUCCAAGGUGAAAAGCCUCUAGUCGAUAGAUUAAUGUAGUAGGAAGUCA
This 2268-nucleotide ribosomal RNA is filed under the name Cleotomiroides tobii. RNAcentral describes it as "eukaryotic LSU rRNA". It matches the Rfam family "Eukaryotic large subunit ribosomal RNA", at positions 56 to 1916 of the family's 3401-position model. The record is from RNAcentral. Lineage: Eukaryota; Metazoa; Arthropoda; Insecta; Hemiptera; Miridae.